GUCUUGGCAAGUAGGACCGGGUUAGCAGGAUAGGGACUCGGCGAGUCUCGGCCAUGACUCGGUGAGUCCAGUCAACUGGAAGUUGACUUUGACCAAGGAGUUGACCUUGGACCAGGGGUGGGUCAGUCAUUUGACCUAAGGGUAUUUAUGAGUGGCUAAUCUAUGUUUAUGGAUUUAUAGCCGGAGGAUUACCGGUGCAGCAGUCAGACGUCCAGCAGUUAGACUUUUGGUAGCUACUUUUCGAGGUGAGUUUCCUUCCAGUAGGAACGGGUCUAAGGCACCAAGGCCGGCCCGUAUAGACGAUAUGUUAGUAUCGGAGUGUGGGCAGAGCCCGUAUCUCNNNNNNNNNNNNNNNNNNNNNNNNNNNNNNNNNNNNNNNNNNNNNNNNNNNNNNNNNNNNNNNNNNNNNNNNNNNNNNNNNNNNNNNNNNNNNNNNNNNNNNNNNNNNNNNNNNNNNNNNNNNNNNNNNNNNNNNNNNNNNNNNNNNNNNNNNNNNNNNNNNNNNNNNNNNNNNNNNNNNNNNNNNNNNNNNNNNNNNNNNNNNNNNNNNNNNNNNNNNNNNNNNNNNNNNNNNNNNAGCACCCCAGAACGGCUUGACAUGGGUAGUCAGCACCCUAGAAUGGCUUGACACGGGCAGGACGGCACCCCAGAAUGGCCGCAUGGGUAGGUCGGGCACCCCAGAAUUGCCUGGCAGUAUGUAUGUUAUGUGGUUAUAUGGUAUGUGGUACAGUGGGGGAACUCACUAAGCUUCAUGCUUACAGUUUAUAGUUUUGGUUUCAGGUACCUCUUCGGUGAAGGGGAAGGAGCUGGCGCGUUAGCAGCACAUCAUACACACAUCUUGUUUUCCGCACUAUGAGAUUAUUCUUGGAUUUGUACUCUGACACUAUGAUUGAUUUCAUGUUUUAGUUUUCAGACACGUAAUAUGUUUUAAGGAAGCGAUAUGAUCGAAUGUUGUUUGUUUUCAAAUGUUUUGCAAAGUGUUUAAUAAAAAAUGAAAUUUUUUAUGACAACCCCAAAUCUAAUUCCGUUACAAAUCUCAUUUUCACUAACGGAACGUGUCAUUAUACGUUAUUUUAUGUAAUAUUUGGCAUCGUCAAUAUCCAAAUAUCUAAAUUUAUGCAUGGCUUAAUAUCAUCAUGAGAAAUAUAACUCGUAUGUGUUAACCCCGUUUAACCUAAUAGAGUUGUAUUACCUUUUCAACCACUUCACCCGGGUAAAAAGUUUUAACCCAGUUAACUUUAAACAUCGGGUAGCCGUGUAUCGGGUGCGAUUCCCGAGACAUAUGCAAUGGGUGUGCACAACAUUUGAACACUCAUUUGCUACACACCCACUCUCUCUCUCUACUUUCUCUCUCUAGACUCGAAAUCGACCCCGAUUCCGCUAAUUUCCGACUUCCAAACGUAAGUACUCACCCUCUAUCUUAUUCUAGUCAUACUUCAUUGCAUUUGAGGGCCAAAAUCAUAGGAAUCAAGGUCCAAAGAGGAGUUUACGGCCUAAGAAGCUCCUUAGGCCGUAAACCCCCAAAACCAAGCCAAAGACCAAGUUUUUCCUUCUUGUAAGUUAGUAUACUAAUUAAGGCUUAUAACUAGAAGAGUUUGGACUUUAAAACACAAGAAAAUGAUGCUUAAAAAGGAGUUUACGGCCCAAGCUUGUGCUUAGGCCGUAAACACCUCAAACACCCCAUAAAUCUAUGUUUUAAGCCCCAAAAACACUUCUAGGAUGUUUGGCAAAUUAGACUUGACUCCAAGGAACACUUAAAUGCAUCAAACAACUCCAUUUGAGGCCAAAAAGAGGAGUUUACGGCCUAGCUUAAGCUUGGGCCGUAAACACCCAAGAAAUUGUGUCAAACAAGUCCUUAAACUACCCUAAUGCAUGAAAGGAAUUUAUCUAAGGCCUUUGGAAGUGUGUUGUACCAUAAAACACCUCAUUUUGAUACCAAAUGAAGAGUUUACGGCCAAGGAUGUUCUUGGGCCGUAAACUCCCCAAAAAUUCAUGCCAAAUUGUUCCAAACUCACUAUAGGGCCUUCUAGGAUUUUUCUAAGCCAUUUGGGACCAUGUUGUACAAGUAAAACCUACAUCUUGAAGGGUCUAUAGGAGUUUACGGCCCAAGAACAAGUCUUGGCCGUAAACUCCCUAAAAAUGACACAAAUUAUGAUGUUUAAUCCUUCCCUCUUGGUCCAAAACACACACCACUAAAUUAAGGAAGUGAGAUAAGGCCCUAAACACACAUUUUGGAGUGUCACAAGAGUUUACGGCCAAGCCUAGGGGGCUUACGGCCGUAAACUCCCAAAGAAUGGCUUUUAGGCCAUAAACUCUAAGAGAGUGAACUCAAGGACCCUCCCGUAAAUCAUCCAUGGCCUUGUACCACUCCCGGGAACCCUUUCUAGGCCUUAAAACCCCGAAAACGACACUAGAAUGUCCAAAUACUAUAAUGAAAAGCAUAAGAUGAUUAACUUCUUGUAAAAUACAUAUUUCAUAUGACAUUAGGGUCCUAAAAGGUGCUCAAGUGGUUAUUUGGUACCAAACGCUCAAUCGACACUAUUACCCGAUUUACCCGAUUCACCCGAUUUCCGCGAUUUCAGGUGAGUUCAUACCCCUUUAAUGAACCUUUCAAGUGUUUUACAUGUUUUAGGGGGGAGAUACAAGUUGCUUAUAAAUGUUUAUGUAAAGUUUUACAGAACGAUUUCCGAGUUACAAGGAUUAAUCACAUGUGAUUCACUACUCUUAGUUCAAAUCACAUGUGAUUUGUCCCUAUGCCUUAAAAACGGGUUUUACCCUUUUCAAACUAUUUUUAAACAGUGAAUCAGAAUUUAAAUGUUCUUUUGGAAAAAUACUUUUAUUUAAUCAAUUUGCUUAUAAAAUGUAACCACUCUGAUAUAUUUAUAUAAAUAAGACUUGGAGGACUUAGGACCGAUAUCUCGCCUUAUUUCCUGUUCUUGUUUGAUUGUGGGCUUAGGGUAGUAGUUAUCCGUCCGACUGUCGUUGAUUUCUUACUUAUAUAAAAUCUGUAUAUCAGUAUGGGAUACGAAUAUUACUGCUUUCACUUAAUGCUAAAGUCACUAACGUGCUAAGAAACAUCCCCACUAAGAUAACCAUAAUAGGUAUGGUUAGGGUCGCUACCGCUACUACUCGCUAAAGUUAUUACUAUCUACACUAUAAUACUCACUAUUACUAGACGAUACACUAGUAAGAGAAUACACUAUGAUCAAUACUAAAAGAUUACUACACUAUAACAAUAGAGAAAACACUAAACAAACAAUAAUACACUAACCCGCUACGAGAUACUCUAUUCGCUAUUCACUACGCCCGGAGUGUUCCAGCAGGAGACGACUCUACAUGUAUAGAUCUAUACGGGGCAGACGCUAUUACAUCCCGACUGUUAACCUCAGUCCGCGCCGUGCAGGCCCAGGGAUGCCACUACUCACUAUACUGUGCAUGACCGGGAAGGUCAUGGGAUCCUCUAUUAUCCUCACUAUUAGUAAUAUACAAGGAAUACGCUACAACUACUCUAAAAUACCACACUAAAUGCUAAACUGCAUCCCGAAGUAAGUAAGUAUCUAUCACUAAAGGAAGCUUGCACCUCUAUCACUGAUUACAGGCUCAACCUAUUCCAUCACACUUGUUAUUUGGAGAUUUGCCAAGGUAUUUUUAAAAUAAACUGUUUUCAAAGGAAUAAAGAAUGCAUAAUUUUCACAGAUUGUCACUUACAAUGUAUUUCCUGGAAAAUAUGGGAUUUUCUAAGUUUCUACUACUUAUGAACAUAAAUGAUACAUCUUUAACACUAAUGCUUUGUAUACAAAAACUCACACUAAACUCUUAUGAACUCACCAGCUUUAUGCUGAUAAUUGUUUUCAAAAUAACUUGUAUCUUCAGGACAAAGAUAGACAGGUACAGACGCGGCAUUUUUGGAGAAGGUGGAGCACACAAGACCCAUCUCUUAUUUUUGAUUUACUUUUGGGUGAUUGUUAAACAUUACAAAAUACGCAUGUAAUUAAAUUCACUAUGUAAUACUAUGGUUGUAUGUUUCUUGUUUCUACUAUUAUGCAAUUGUGAUGAUACUGUUCACUACGUCAUCCACCCCGAAACGUAUUCUGCCGUUAUCGGUUUUGGGGUGUGACAUUUUUGGACUUAAAAAUUGGGUCGUUACAAGUUGGUAUCAGAGCCCUGGUUUAAGGUAUUCGGACACAGCUUCGGGGUUGUCUGGACUCAAAUCAAGGGACUAAAGGAUUUCGAAAAGGAAAAAGUUUCUAAAAGUUUAAGUAAAGAGUUAUAAGAAGGAACAAAGUGUGUGAUGUGCGUGACCAGCCAAGCUCAAGUAAGUAUUCCCCAAAGUACCCAUACAAGUUUAUGUUAUGUUUAAUAGUUUCAGUAGAACAACAUGCUAGAAUAGGACUAAGUAUCUAGGAGUGAUGCCUUAUGUGCCUGCUUUAUGUGCUUCAGCUUAUGAGAAUUGCAUGCUAGUAAUGAGUAGACAGCAGUUGGAUAGCCUGUUUAGGUUAUGCCUGACAGUAUGAGUUUAGCAUUGUAUGCUAGUUCAGUUUCUCUCUAUGAGAAUGGAAUUGCUUGAGAUUGUUCCCUUUUGUCUGAAUGUUGAUUGCUUUGUGCUUUGUGGGACCCUGAGUGAUGGGAGUUAGCCAUUAGUUGAAUACGUCACGUCACAUGUGAUCAGGGUUGAAUAAUCUUAGAGUGCUGGAUUUGACCCUAUUAUGCAGCUCUUAUUUGAGUCUAAUCGUUGUAGCGACGAGUCUGUUACUCGAAGGAUUAUCUGAGCCUCAUCACAUGUGAUGGUAUUCAGGUAAUGGCUAAUUGGCAUUACAAGGAGGUCUUCAGCAGCUGAGGAUCCGAGUAGGGUGGAGUCAGAGGUUUCCAUAGGGUAAGCCUAGGAUGAAUGUAGCGGAGAUCAGCAGUGGUAAAAGGGAUCUGGUGGGGUCAAGGCAGUCCUUGAAGAAGCUACGGAUAGAUGUGGAAGGUAGUAUGGGCCCGUACUACUGAAAGCAGAGGAUCCGUACCCGAACCGAGGAAGGCCAAGAUAAGACCAGGGAACUUGUAGUAGAUGUGAUCCCUUAAGAAGUAUCAGUAUCACUAACGGUUGUUAUUUAUGUAUUGCAAAAUGGUGGUACUACGCUCAAGGCCAGUAGUUGGCAGUUCAGGAGAGGAAUCGUGUUCGGGAUCAGGUUCCGAGCCAGUAGAUGAGGGGCUACGCGAGUUCAUCGCGUUAGAGAUCACCAGGGGCAUCCUUGAGUCGACCCCCAUUAUAUUUGGGUCGAUCAAGGAAGGGAUAGUUGAGUUGAUGGAGGAUCGCCUCAGGGCAUUUAGGAGCGACAUGGCAUCUGGCCAGUCGGGAUCUCGCACACUGUCCUUUACAGACUUCAGGGGCAGUUGUGCGCCGGAUUUUCACGGGGCGAAGGACCCCAUAGCUACCAGGCGAUGGAUUACAGACAUCGAGUAUGCACAGUUGACUAGCUUCUGCCCCGAGGGGUCGAAGGUGAGGUUCACAGUUGGGUGUUUACGAGACCAAGCCAGACAUUGGUGGGAGUCCGUCGGUGACUCGUUGGGAGCCUCGGCUAUUGAGGCUAUGACCUGGUUCAAGGCAGAGUUUGUGCCGGCUGUCGAGCUCAAGCAGCUGGCCAGGAAGUUUUUAGAUAUGAGGGAGACGACGGAGACUAUGGCGGAGAACACCGCUAAGUUCCAAGAGAGGGCGUUGUUGGUUCCCCAAUACGCGGGUGAUGAGGAUAUGAAGAGGACCCGCUACCAUGACAUGCUACGAGCUGAUAUUCGGGAGCAUGUCAAUUUUUCCGCUUGCCCUACUCUGGAGUCCAUGAUUGUCGAGGCAAAGGAGAGGGAGAUUGAUUUGGAGCAUAUCCGAAAGAGGAAGGGUGAGGAGGGGCUGGUGACUGGGGCUUCGGGGAAGAAGCCCAAGGGAUCAGAUGGUAGGCCGAAAGGCCAAGGAGGAUCGGGCCGCUGCAAGAAAUGUAGCAAGCCACACGAGGGAGCAUGUAGAUUGGGAACGUCGGGCUGCUACAAGUGCGGCAAGACGGGGCACUUUAGUAGGGAUUGUACUGCCCCUGCACCGGUUAUUCAGAUGUCUGAGUUUCUAUGUUUCCACUGCAACUAGAGGGCCACAAGAAGGCCAACUGCCCCCAGUUGACAGCAGCAGCGCUAGUGAAGGCGCCAGCUCCAGCAACCCUGCGAAUUACUGAUGGCCGGCAGGGCAAGGCAGAGGCUCCAAUGGUGAGGAGCCGGGCAUUUCAGCCGACUAUCGAGGAGGCGCGCACCGCACCCGAUGUGGUGACGCGUAUGAUUCUUUCCUCUAUUUUAUUUAUAUGAUGUUAUGAAAUUGAUAUGUGCUCUGUGUGUGUGUGUAUAUAUAUAUAUAUAUAUAUAUAUAUAUAUGUGUGUGUGUGUGUGUGUGUGUGUGUGUGUUAGGAUCGUUCCAUGUGAACGGUAUCCCAGUUCAGGUGUUGUUUGACUCGGGUGCCACUCGAUCGUUUGUUUCUCUUGCGCUUAGCAAGAAGUUUACUGAGUCUUCGGGCAUGUUGGAUUGCCCUUUAAAGGUAGAGAUUGCCGAUGAUCGAUCGGUGCGAGCAUCAACAGUGUUCAGAGAUGGUGUUCUAAGGUUGUUUGAGGAGCGCUACUUGGUGGAUUUGGUUCUUAUUCCGUUGCGUGGGAACAAGGUGAUUAUAGGCAUGGAUUGGUUGAGCCCUAAUGGGGCGGUGAUAGAUUGCGCACAGCAGCUGGCGCAGGUCAGGACCCUAAGUGGGGGAGAAUUGGUAAUCCACGGCGAGAGGCCACAGCAUGGACCUACAGUAUGUUCAGCAGCGAGAGCUAGGUGCUACCUUCAAAAGGGUUGCGCGGGAUAUGUCACGUAUGUUAUGGACAUCCGGGAGGUGGGUAAGGCGAUGGUGAGCGAGGUUCCGGUGGUGCGAGACUACGCUGAUGUGUUCCCAGAGGAGCUUCCUGGAAUACCUCCGGAGCGACAGGUAGAGUUCAGGAUCGACCAAGGCACCGUACCGAUUGGCUCCUCCCGAGAUGUAGGAGUUGUCUACACAGCUGCAGGAGCUAUUAGACAAGGGAUUCAUUAGACUGAGCAGUUCACCCUGAGGAGCCCCGAUUCUGUUUGUGAAGAAGAAGGACGGGUCGCAUCGGAUGUGUAUGUUUUAUCGGGAGCUGAACAAGGUAACGGUGAAGAACCGUUACCCACUCUCGAGGAUUGGUGAUCUCUUUGACCAGUUACAGGGAGCAUCUUGGUUCUCCAAGAUCGAUUUGCGUUCAGGUUAUCAUCAGUUGAGGGUCAGAGAGGAGGAUGUGAAGAAGACCGCGUUUCGGACGCGCUAUGACCAUUAUGAGUCCGUGGUGAUGUCGUUUGGGCUCACAAUCCUCCUGCCACAUUCAUGGACCUCAUGAACCGCGUGUGCAGACCGAUGUUGGAUCGGUCUGUGAUAGUUUUCAUUGAUGACAUCUUGGUUUAUUCCAAGAUGCAGGAGGAGCACAAGGAGCAUCUGAGAGAGGUUUUGGAGACCCUGAGGAGGGAGAGCUUGUAUGCUAAGUUCUCCAAAUGCGAGUUUUGGUUGCGCGAGGUGCAAUUCCUUGGGCACCUUGUCAACCAGAACGGUAUACUGGUCGACCCGGCCAAGAUAGAGGAAGUGAUGAGAUAUGAGGUUCCGAAGUCUCCACCCGAGAUUCGGAGUUUCUUGGGAUUAGCGGGCUACUAUCGGAGAUUCAUUCAGGACUUCUCCAAGAUAGUCUAACCCUGACAUGGUUGAUUAAGAAAGUCGUGGUCUUUCGAUGGGGGGGGGGGCCUGAGCAGCAGGCACCAUUUGAGAUUCUGAGACAGAGAUUGUGUGAGGCGCCAAUCUUAGCCCUGCCAGAGGGCGUAGAGCAUUUCGUGGUAUACUGUGACGCGUCUAUUUUAGGGUUGGGCACGGUACUGAUGCUGAGAGGGCAUGUCAUUGCCUACGCUUCGAGGCAGCUGAAGCCUCACGAGGCGAACUACCCAACACACGAUUUAGAGUUGGGGGCGGUGGUCUUCGCCCUCAAGAUUUGGCGACAUUACCUCUAUGGGGUUCGGUGUACCAUUUACACGGACCACAAGAGUUUGAGGUACCUCAUGGAUCAGCCGAAUCUGAACAUGAGACAACGCCGAUGGUUGGACGUGGUGAAGGAUUAUGAUUGCGAGAUCCUUUAUCACCCAGGGAAGGCCAAUGUGGUGGCCGAUGCGCUUAAUCGUAAGGCAGCGCCGAUUAGAGGCGUGUGCAUGAGGAUGACGGUAGUGACUCCCCUAUUAGAGCAUAUUCGGGAAGCUCAGCAGGAGGCUAUGAAGGAGGAACAUCGGAAGAUUGAGCGUAUAGUGGGUCAAGUCACCUCCUUCGAUUAUGAUAGCCGAGGGUUAUUGACACUACACCGUAGGGUGUGGGUGCCGUAUCACGGAGGCAUGCGCCAGGUCUUGAUGGAGGCGCACAAAUCCCGAUUCUCCAUUCAUCCCGGGGGGAACGAAGAUGUAUAGGGAUCUUCGUCUAAACUAUUGGCGGCCCUGCAUGAAGCGGGAUGUGGCUUGGUACGUCGAGCGGUGCUUGACCUACAGGAAGGUCAAGGCCGAGCAUCAGAGACCGCACGACAAGAUGCAUCCGUUGGAUAUCCCGUUGUGGAAAUGGGAAGAUAUUACGAUGGAUUUUAUCACAAAGCUUCCCAGGACCGCGCAAGGAGUGGAUUCUAUAUGGGUCAUCGUGGAUCGAUUGACCAAUAGCGCCCAUUAUAUUCCGAUUCAAGAGAGUAUCUCGGCCGAGAAGUUGGCCGACAUCUAUAUCAGGGAGAUAGUGGUGCGGCACGGACUGCCAGUAUCAGUGAUUUCAGACAGGGAUGUGCGUUUUACUUCUAGGUUUUGGAAGAAGUUUCAUGAUGAGUUGGGCACUCGUCUGCAUUUUAGCACCGCCUUUUACCUACAGACGGAUGGUCAGAGUGAGCGGACCAUCCAGACUCUUGAGGAUAUGUUGCAGGCAUGCGUGCUAGAUUUCGGUGGUAGUUGGGAUACCUAUCUUCCUCUAGUUGAGUUCUCAUACAACAACAGCUACCACGCGAGUAUUGACCGUCCUCCCUUCAAGAUGUUGUACGGGCGGAGGUGCAGGACCCCGAUAUGUUGGGGUGAAGGUGGCCAGAGGGUAAUGGGGAGCACCGAAGUGGUACUCAAGAUGACCGAGAGGGUUCAACAGGUUCGGAGCAGGCUUCAGACUGCACAGAGUUGGCAGAAAAGUUAUGCCGACAAGCACCGUUUAGACUUGGAAUUCCAAGUCGGGGAUAUGGUUCUUUUGAAGGUGUCUCCAUGGAAAGGCUUCAUCCGAUUCAGAAAGCAAGACAAGUUGGGCCCAAGGUACAUCAGGAUUCAGGGUUGUAGCCCGGGUGGGCAAGGUAGCGUAUAGGUUGGAUCUGCCAGCCAAACUCAGCCAGAUCCACAACACUUUCCACGUCUCUCAGUUGCGGAAGUGUCUGGUGGACGACUCAGCCGUGGUGCCUUCAGAGGAUAUUCAGGUCGACGAUAGCUUGAAUUACAUUGAGAGGCCAAUAGCAAUCCUCGACUGAAAGUCGAAGGAUUUGAGGAACAAGAGGGUGGAACUCGUGGAGGUGCAAUGGCAACACCGGAAGGGAUCGGAGUGGACUUGGGAGCCGGUGGAAGAUAUGAUGGAGCAUUACCCCGAGCUAUUUUAGGGUCGAGCAGCAGACUUCGAGGACGAAGUCUAAAAUAAGUGGGGGAGAUUUGUAGCACCUGGUUCCUGGUACGUAUUUCUUGUAAUUAAUAUUCUUUAAAUAAUGCAUUUUUUCCUUGGACUUGGCGAGUUGGAGGACGAACUCGCCGAGUAGAAGCGGGAUAAGGCACAGGGUCUAAACUUUGGACUCGGCGAGUUGGUUCCCGGACUCGGCGAGUAGACCCUGUCUGGGCAAAAACCCUAACCCAGGUGUUUGCACCCUAUUUAAACACUCUAACUUGGCCUCCCUUGCCCCUAACACUUCCAGAGAAGCUGAAGUACGAACCCUAGCCCCCUUAUUGUUCUUGUGAGUGAUUUUGGCCUUGUGAAGGUAGUUUGAAGCUUAAGAGAAGAAGAAGAAGAAAGUGGAAGAGUGCAAGGAAGGGAAGUAGAUCCGACAUCUACCCUGCAAGAGGCUUCCAUUCAGGUAGAAAAGUUCCUAUCUUGAUCAUUGGUUCAUUGGAUCCCCUUUUUGUCCCUAAUUGGUGGUUUUCAAGCCCUAAAAACCCCAAACUCCAUGUGUUUGUGCUCUAUGAUCCGGAAGGACUUCAGAUCUGGACCUUAGGGGCAUCUUAGAAGUAUAAAGUUUAUGUGGUUGGAGUUAUUGAGGCCCCUAUUGAGUGUAUGACCUCUUAAAGAGCUUGGAUUUGCCUUUUUGAGCUUAUAGGACCAUGCAUGCAUGUAAAGUUUGCAACUUUACGUGAUAAGCAUGCCCUAGGAACAUAGAUCUAUGGUUUGAAGCGUUGCAUGUCUCAGAUUUGGCCUAUAUGGGAAAUGAGUCGAAGGGACUCGGCGAGUCCCAAAGUGGAACUCGGUGAGUUCUAUGAAGAUGGCCUGGAACUCGACGAGUUGUUCUUCAAACUCAGCGAGUCAUAUGAACUGUUAUUGAAUAAAAGGGGUUUAAGUGUUGAAGGUCCAACCCUUCGUAUCUAACUUAACGUGUAGCAAUAGUCCCAAAAACCCAAAUCUUCAUAAAGGAUGCUCUAGUGAGGAUUUGGAAGCGAGUAGGAGUUCUGCUCGUGGAGACUCAGGGAGUUGUUCCCAUACUCGGCGAGUCGGAUUGCGAGUCGGUCCAAUCGUCCCAAGUAGUGAGUUAAGGGUGACUCAGUGAGUGGGAAGAGGGUCUUGGCGAGUAGGACCAGGUUAGCAGGACCCUCCCGUAAAUCAUCCAUAGCCUUGAACCANAACUGGAAGUUGACUUUGACCAAGGAGUUGACCUUGGACCAGGGGUGGGUCAGUCAUUUGACCUAAAGGUAUUUAUGAGUGUCUAAUCUAUGUUUAUGAUUUAUAGCCGGAGGAUUACCAAUUCAACAGUCAGGUGCUAGCAAGCAAAUUUUCAGCAGCUACUUUCAAGGUGAGUUGCCUUCCAGUAGCGGUGGGUCUACGGCCACAAUGCCGGCCCACCAGUAGGAGUUGUAUGUUAGAUGAUUGUCUUUGUGAUAUCAUCUAGGUUUACUACUACCUGAUAUGUUAUAUGCUGGCAUGAUAUGUUAUAUGUGAUAGUAGUAGAGUUCGGUAAUUAGGACCGAAGGGUAGGUCAGACACCCCAACUAUGUUUGACAGUAUGUGAUGAUAUGUUUAUAUGCCAGUAUGAUCUGUUAUAUGUGUUAGUGGUAGUAGGAGGGGAACAGUCCCCGAGGUUUGGUCGUUAGGAC
RNAcentral lists this long non-coding RNA (11392 nucleotides) under Lactuca sativa (garden lettuce). RNAcentral's name for it is "long non-coding RNA (LSAT_LNC001724)". Lineage: Eukaryota; Viridiplantae; Streptophyta; Magnoliopsida; Asterales; Asteraceae. The record is from RNAcentral.